This 492-nucleotide ribosomal RNA is filed under the name uncultured bacterium. Its description in RNAcentral is "partial 16S ribosomal RNA". It matches the Rfam family "Bacterial small subunit ribosomal RNA", at positions 29 to 507 of the family's 1533-position model. The record is from RNAcentral.
AGUGAACGCUGGCGGUAUGCCUAACACAUGCAAGUCGAACGGCAGCACAGUAAGAGCUUGCUCUUACGGGUGGCGAGUGGCGGACGGGUGAGGAAUACAUCGGAAUCUACUUUUUCUUGGGGGAUAACGUAGGGAAACUUACGCUAAUACCUCAUACGACCUACGGGUGAAAUCAAUGGAUCUUCGGACCUUGCGCGAUUGAAUGAGCCGAUGUCGGAUUAGCUAGUUGGCGGGGUAAAGGCCCACCAAGGCGACGAUCCGUAGCUGGUCUGAGAGGAUGAUCAGCCACACUGGAACUGAGACACGGUCCAGACUCCUACGGGAGGCAGCAGUGGGGAAUAUUGGACAAUGGGCGAAAGCCUGAUCCAGCCAUACCGCGUGGGUGAAGAAGGCCUUCGGGUCGUAAAGCCCUUUUGUUGGGAAAGAAAAGCAGCAGGUUAAUACCCCGCUGUUCUGACGGUACCCAAAGAAUAAGCCCCGGCUAACUUCGUG